This 1824-nucleotide long non-coding RNA is filed under the name Nicotiana tabacum (common tobacco). RNAcentral's name for it is "long non-coding RNA (NTAB_LNC004260)". Lineage: Eukaryota; Viridiplantae; Streptophyta; Magnoliopsida; Solanales; Solanaceae. The record is from RNAcentral.
UAAGGCUGUAAUACUCGAAAUGACCGGUCGGAUCGUUAUAGAUUACAUAAAUGCAAGUCAUGAAACAAUGAGUCUUAUGAGCCUCUUUGAGGAAAGCUGGUCAAAGAUACUGAUUCGAUCGAUCGUAAGUUUUUAAAAUAUCAUCUGAAUAUGCUCAUGCAUCCAUCUCAACACCACUUCUAAGCUGGCAUUGAUGUAUUCCUUAUUUCUCCAGAUAUAUAUGGACUGAUUGUUAAACAAAAAGAAAGAAAAAAUUAAUAAACAAGUAGAUCAUAUACCAUUGUAUCUAAUAUAGAUUAUAUCAAUUAAUUUAUAGGGAUAUCGAAGAUACAUUCUUUUAGAAGUAUAUACGAUCUUAUUCUUAUGACAUAAAAUUGGCACACGGUACAUAUAUAAUACUCCAUCCGAAGAACUACAUAUGUGCGUUAGUAUUUCUAGGGAGGAUAAAGGGGGAGGCAGGAAGAAAGAUAAGUUGUACUAUACCUGCACAUAUAGAUAUUAAAGUUACAAUUCAGUAAUCAAGUGUUUUUAAAGAAACGGUUAAUAAAAUAUAUGAAACUCAAAAGUUAUAAAUUCGAAAAUUCCUCCAAGGCAAAGGCUCAAGAUAUCUAUCUCUGUCUUAACACUAACUUUUAGAAUUUGAGACUUCUUUAGGUAACCAAGCAUAUAUUAUCCAAGAUAAUAAUCAUUCAAUAUGUGUAACCAAGCAUAAAUCAUUCACGAUUUCAUUCGUUUAUUCGAUGUUCUGCUAUGAAUGUCAAACCAGAAACAACAAUUCCUUUUCUCUUUCAUCUAGAUAUGAAGUUAGAAUUUGACAACAUCCUUUACUAUAAAAAAGAAACUCCUUGAUUCUACUGCAUGUAGCCACACACAACUAAAGACAUUGUAAAAUUAUACACAGUCGAACAUAGAACUAAUGUGCACGCGACAACUAAGAGCAGAAGCCAGAUAAACAUUUUAUUCUUAAAGAAUUGAAUCCCGAGCUGCAAGAAUAUUCUUCUUUCACGUAAUCAAUCCACAUAAACUUUCAUAAUUUAAAAUUAAAAUAAAAUAAAGAAGGAAUUUUCACUAUCCAAGAAUUGAAUUUCCUCAAUUUCUAAACUACCAAAAUAUUUUUGUUUGACGUAAGUGGAGCGACAUAAAAUUACAAAAGCAAAUGCUCAUUAAAAAUAUUUAAAAAAAAAUAUUUUUAACACAUACGGAGAUUUUUUGUCAAGAACAAAUCUUUUCUAACACUUUGAGCUGCUACAAAACAAUCGUGCUUCACAUAAGUGACCCAUCUAAAUAAUAAUAACAAAUAGCCACUAAAAAUAAUUUAAAAAAUUAUAACCGUAACAAUGAAAUGAACAAAGAGGAUAAAACAAUGGCAAACUCAUCGGCUACAAGGGCGUAGCUAACCGAGGGAAGGACACAAAUCUGUUUUCUUUUUGAAGAAUAAAUCUGCAGCUAUAAAAGAAAAGAUUGCAGUUAUGGGAGGAUGACAAUUGAAAAACCUUCACAUCAGCCGUGAAACUGGAACGAGAAUUAAACAGAUUAAGAGCGACAUUAGCUAUAAUUUUCAAUCGUGAAAUUCAGAAGUUUGAAGAGAACUAAAAAGAAUUAGGGAAAAAACGAAAUUGGAGGAAAAAUUGAGAAUAAAACUAACAUGAAAUAUGAAGAGAACUCACAAAAAGUACUUCAAAGUAGUCGAAAGAGUUGGGAAGAGCGGUGAUGUUUCUCUAUCCUUGAAAUGAAAGAAGCCGCAAGUAGGAAAGCAUUAUUAUGAAUAAGCAAAAUGUCAAUUUUUGCCCUUGGUUAAUCACACUUUCCUUUUCUAUAUAAUAA